This 439-nucleotide ribosomal RNA is filed under the name Theileria annulata. Its description in RNAcentral is "SSU rRNA". It matches the Rfam family "Eukaryotic small subunit ribosomal RNA", at positions 548 to 1025 of the family's 1831-position model. Lineage: Eukaryota; Apicomplexa; Aconoidasida; Piroplasmida; Theileriidae. The record is from RNAcentral.
UUGGAGGGCAGUCUGGUGCCAGCAGCCGCGGUAAUUCCAGCUCCAAUAGCGUAUAUUAAAAUUGUUGCAGUUAAAAAGCUCGUAGUUGAAUUUCUGCUGCAUUGCUUGUGUCCCUCUGGGGUCUGUGCAUGUGGCUUUUUUCGGACGGAGUUUCUUUGUCUGAAUGUUUACUUUGAGAAAAUUAGAGUGCUCAAAGCAGGCUUUCGCCUUGAAUAGUUUAGCAUGGAAUAAUAAAGUAGGACUUUGGUUCUAUUUUGUUGGUUUUAGGUACCAAAGUAAUGGUUAAUAGGAACAGUUGGGGGCAUUCGUAUUUAACUGUCAGAGGUGAAAUUCUUAGAUUUGUUAAAGACGAACUACUGCGAAAGCAUUUGCCAAGGAUGUUUUCAUUAAUCAAGAACGAAAGUUAGGGGAUCGAAGACGAUCAGAUACCGUCGUAGUC